RNAcentral lists this ribosomal RNA (497 nucleotides) under uncultured bacterium. Its description in RNAcentral is "partial 16S ribosomal RNA". It matches the Rfam family "Bacterial small subunit ribosomal RNA", at positions 28 to 507 of the family's 1533-position model. The record is from RNAcentral.
GAUGAACGCUGGCGGCGUGCCUAAUACAUGCAAGUCGAGCGAACAGACGAGGAGCUUGCUCCGCGGACGUUAGCGGCGGACGGGUGAGUAACACGUGGAUAACCUACCUAUAAGACUGGGAUAACUUCGGGAAACCGGAGCUAAUACCGGAUAAUAUAUUGAACCGCAUGGUUCAAUAGUGAAAGACGUUUUUGCUGUUACUUAUAGAUGGAUCCGCGCCGCAUUAGCUAGUUGGUAAGGUAACGGCUUACCAAGGCAACGAUGCGUAGCCGACCUGAGAGGCUGAUCGCCCACCCUGGAACUGAGCCACGGUCCAGACUCCUACGGGAGGCAGCAGUAGGGAAUCUUCCGCAAUGGGCGAAAGCCUGACGGAGCAACGCCGCGUGAGUGAUGAAGGUCUUCGGAUCGUAAAACUCUGUUAUUAGGGAAGAACAAAUGUGUAAGUAACUAUGCACGUCUUGACGGUACCUAAUCAGAAAGCCACGGCUAACUACGUG